UUUGUUUCCUCAUCUGUAAAUUGAGGAGAGAGAAAGGGGGUUAGAUCACUUCUCACCUUCCUCGAAGCUCUGACAUUUGGGAUUCUAAACUAAAGCUUUCAAAUACAACCUCUCAUCCUCAUAGCUCCUCUUUUCAGAGCCUGCUGUAAAAAUAAGUCUUCCGUGAGACAGCCCUCACACACCGAAUGCCGGGUACAAACGCCCCAUGGUCUUUCCAGAAUCCAUAGCUCAGUCACCUGUUAAGGAAUUGACGUGGGCUUUUCAUUCUAAAAAAGAACAGCUGGUGAAAGAGGCCCAGAAAUCAGGAUUUUAAAAAGAUUCCCAGGUGAUUCUAAUGUGCAGCCAAGGUUGAGAACCACUGACCUACAGGCUGCCCAACCCUCCGUGUUGAGAAGUUCCCUUUGGGGUCGGCGAUAGCCUCCUGACAUGAACAGACACCUGGGAGGGUCUGCCGGGCUCCUUAUGACAA
Molecule: long non-coding RNA, 469 nt
Organism: Myotis lucifugus (little brown bat)
Lineage: Eukaryota; Metazoa; Chordata; Mammalia; Chiroptera; Vespertilionidae
Exons: 3
Source: RefSeq, a predicted model, not a curated record